Molecule: ribosomal RNA, 416 nt
Filed under: uncultured bacterium
Lineage: Bacteria
Description: bacterial SSU rRNA
Rfam family: Bacterial small subunit ribosomal RNA
Source: RNAcentral
CGCCAGCAGCCGCGGUAAUACAGAGGGUGCAAGCGUUGUUCGGAAUUAUUGGGCGUAAAGCGCGUGUAGGCGGCUUGGCAAGUCGGGUGUGAAAUCCCUCAGCUUAACUGAGGAAGUGCGCCCGAAACUGCCGAGCUUGAGUACCGGAGAGGGUGGCGGAAUUCCCCAAGUAGAGGUGAAAUUCGUAGAUAUGGGGAGGAACACCGGUGGCGAAGGCGGCCACCUGGACGGAUACUGACGCUGAGACGCGAAAGCGUGGGGAGCAAACAGGAUUAGAUACCCUGGUAGUCCACGCCGUAAACGAUGAGAACUAGGUGUCGUGGGUGUUGACCCCCGCGGUGCCGUAGCUAACGCAUUAAGUUCUCCGCCUGGGAAGUACGGCCGCAAGGCUAAAACUUAAAGGAAUUGGCGGGGGA